RNAcentral lists this ribosomal RNA (566 nucleotides) under uncultured archaeon. RNAcentral's name for it is "bacterial SSU rRNA". It matches the Rfam family "Archaeal small subunit ribosomal RNA", at positions 317 to 889 of the family's 1478-position model. The record is from RNAcentral.
GUGAUUCGGGGUGCACCAGGCGCGAAAACUCUGCAAUGCACGCAAGUGUGACAGGGGGAUCCCAAGUGCUUAAGCACUGCUUAGGCUUUUGCUUAGUGUAAAUAGCUAGGCGAAUAAGUGGUGGGCAAGACUGGUGCCAGCCGCCGCGGUAACACCAGCGCCACGAGUGGCACUCGCGUUUAUUGGGCCUAAAGCGUCCGUAGCAGGUUUGCUGAAUUUCUUGUGAAAUUGCCAGGCUCAACUUGGCAGUGUGCAGGGAACACUGGCAGACUAGGGACCGGGAAGGGUCAGAGGUAUUCCUGAGGGAGCGGUAAAAUGCUAUAAUCUCAGGAGGACCACCUGUGGCGAAGGCGUCUGACUAGAACGGAUCCGACUGUGAGGGACGAAAGCCAGGGGAGCAAACCGGAUUAGAUACCCGAGUAGUCCUGGCCGUAAACGCUGUGAGCUAGGUGUCGCGUACUCUACGAGAAUGCGCGGUGUCGAAAGGAAGCUGUUAAGCUCACCGCCUGGGAAGUACGGUCGCAAGACUGAAACUUUAAGGAAUUGGCGGGGGAGCACAAUCGAAU